CCUUAACGACUGCCAGAGCCUGGGACACGUCCCUCCUACGAUCUGAGUCUGACCAUCUGAGUCCACACCUGAAGUGACACAGCCUCACGUCCCUCAGACUCCUAAGGCGGAAGUCAGGAUACGUCACUUCUGGGAACACUGCCCGGGGGCCUUCCAGGGAUGACUUAGGUGCAGGGCGGAACCGAGGGCCCCUUCUGUCUGACCUUUGCUGUUGCCAGAACAUAGCUCAGGAUAGCCCACCGGACUCCAAAGAAGGAUGAAGGAAAAGUGGUGCAGAGUUGAGACCAUAGCAAAACUCAGCCUAGAUCAGCCAACUCCCAGGCAUCCAGUUGUUUAUAUGAAAGUUACUCUUCAACAUUCAGCCUUGGAUUUCGGAGGAAGAGGAUACGUGGAGUUAUUGUACACAGUCCUGGAAGCCAUAUCUGUGCAGAUUUCUACAUAUUAACAUGCUGUUAGCAUUUGACCUGAAAGGGCUGGGAAUGACCAUCAUAAGGUAUUUCAUGUAAGGCAAUGAAUAAUCUGAAAAUAAAAUGUUAAAAGGUUUCAUUCACAAAAAAAAAUUAAAAAAUAAAAAGUUUCAUUCACAAUAACAUUAAAAUGAAAACAUG
Long non-coding RNA from Canis lupus familiaris (dog), 608 nucleotides. RefSeq lists it as uncharacterized. Lineage: Eukaryota; Metazoa; Chordata; Mammalia; Carnivora; Canidae. The record is from RefSeq and is a predicted model, not a curated record. The transcript is spliced from 3 exons.